This 971-nucleotide ribosomal RNA is filed under the name uncultured Methanobrevibacter sp. RNAcentral's name for it is "bacterial SSU rRNA". It matches the Rfam family "Archaeal small subunit ribosomal RNA", at positions 44 to 1017 of the family's 1478-position model. Lineage: Archaea; Methanobacteriati; Methanobacteriota; Methanobacteria; Methanobacteriales; Methanobacteriaceae. The record is from RNAcentral.
UUAAGCCAUGCGAGUCGAACGAGUUUAGGCUCGUGGCGUACGGCUCAGUAACACGUGGAUAACCUACCCUUAGGACCGGGAUAACCUUGGGAAACUGAGGACAAUACUGGAUAGGCAAUUUUUCCUGCAAUGGUUCUUUGUUUAAAUGUUUUUUCGCCUAAGGAUGGGUCUGCGGCCGAUUAGGUAGUUGGUUAGGUAAUGGCUUACCAAGCCGUUGAUCGGUACGGGUUGUGAGAGCAAGAGCCCGGAGAUGGAACCUGAGACAAGGUUCCAGGCCCUACGGGGUGCAGCAGGCGCGAAACCUCCGCAAUGUGAGAAAUCGCGACGGGGGGAUCCCAAGUGCCAUUCUUAACGGGAUGGCUUUUCAUUAGUGUAAAGAGCUUUUGGAAUAAGAGCUGGGCAAGACCGGUGCCAGCCGCCGCGGUAACACCGGCAGCUCUAGUGGUAGCAAUUUUUAUUGGGCCUAAAGCGUCCGUAGCCGGUUUAAUAAGUCUCUGGUGAAAUCCUGCAGCUUAACUGUGGGAAUUGCUGGAGAUACUAUUAGACUUGAGACCGGGAGAGGUUAGAGGUACUCCCAGGGUAGAGGUGAAAUUCUGUAAUCCUGGGAGGACCGCCUGUUGCGAAGGCGUCUAACUGGAACGGUUCUGACGGUGAGGGACGAAAGUUAGGGGCGCGAACCGGAUUAGAUACCCGGGUAGUCCUAACUGUAAACGAUGCGGACUUGGUGUUGGGGUGGCUUUGAGCUGCUUCAGUGCCGAAGGGAAGCUGUUAAGUCCGCCGCCUGGGAAGUACGGUCGCAAGACUGAAACUUAAAGGAAUUGGCGGGGGAGCACCACAACGCGUGGAGCCUGCGGUUUAAUUGGAUUCAACGCCGGACAUCUCACCAGAGGCGACAGCUGUAUGAUAGCCAGGUUGAUGACUUUGCUUGACUAGCUGAGAGGUGGUGCAUGGCCAUCUUCUAGAAGAUCUCU